This 421-nucleotide ribosomal RNA is filed under the name uncultured bacterium. RNAcentral's name for it is "bacterial SSU rRNA". It matches the Rfam family "Bacterial small subunit ribosomal RNA", at positions 28 to 455 of the family's 1533-position model. The record is from RNAcentral.
GAUGAACGCUAGCGGCAGGCCUAAUACAUGCAAGUCGAACGGUAAGGCCCUUUCGGGGUACACGAGUGGCGGACGGGUGCGUAACGCGUAUGCAACAUGCCUUCCAGCGGGGGAUAUACCAGGGAAACUUGGCGCAAUACCCCAUAGAAUUACGGGACCGCAUGGUCUUGUGAUUAAAAACUCCGGUGCUGGGAGAUUGGCAUGCGUGACAUUAGCUAGUUGGCGGGGUAACGGCCCACCAAGGCGACGAUGUCUAGCUGGUCUGAGAGGAUGAUCAGCCACACUGGGACUGAGACACGGCCCAGACUCCUACGGAGGCAGCAGUGGGGAAUUUUGGACAAUGGGGGCAACCCUGAUCCAGCCAUGCCGCGUGAGUGAAGAAGGCCUGGUGUAAGUACGUCUUCGCCGGUAGGAAUACGAC